GGGGUGGUAGCUCAGUGGUAGAGUGCUUGCCUAGCAUGUGUGAGGCACUGGGUUUGAUUCUCAGCACUUCA
RNAcentral lists this transfer RNA (71 nucleotides) under Marmota marmota marmota (Alpine marmot). It matches the Rfam family "tRNA". Rfam says of the family: Transfer RNA (tRNA) molecules are approximately 80 nucleotides in length. Their secondary structure includes four short double-helical elements and three loops (D, anti-codon, and T loops). RNAcentral also lists the same sequence under 1 other name. The record is from Rfam by way of RNAcentral. Lineage: Eukaryota; Metazoa; Chordata; Mammalia; Rodentia; Sciuridae.